GAUUAACGCUGGCGGCGUGCAUAACACAUGCAAGUCGAACGAUGAAACUUAGUAGACUUCUUCGGAAAGACACUAAGCGGAUUAGUGGCGAACGGGUGAGUAACGCGUGAGUAACCUGCCUUACACAAGGGGAUAGCCUUUGGAAACGAAGAAUAAUACCCUAUAAAACCAUAAAAGCACAUGCUAGAAUGGUCAAAGUGAUAGCGGUGUAAGAUGGACUUGCGUCUGAUUAGCUAGUUGGUGAGAUAAAAGCUCACCAAGGCAACGAUCAGUAGCCGGCUUGAGAGAGUGUACGGCCACAUUGGGACUGAGACACGGCCCAGACUCCUACGGGAGGAAGCAGUGGGGAAUUUUGCACAAUGGGGGAAACCCUGAUGCAGCGACGCCGCGUGAUCUAGAAGGCCUUAGGGUUGUAAAAAUCUUUUGUAUAGGAAGAAAAUGACAGUACUAUACGAAUAAGGUCCGGCUAAUUACGUG
Molecule: ribosomal RNA, 477 nt
Filed under: uncultured bacterium
Lineage: Bacteria
Description: partial 16S ribosomal RNA
Rfam family: Bacterial small subunit ribosomal RNA
Source: RNAcentral